AGAGUUUGAUCCUGGCUCAGGACGAACGCUGGCGGCGCGCCUAACACAUGCAAGUCGAACGGUGAAGAGGAGCUUGCUCCUCGGAUCAGUGGCGGACGGGUGAGUAACACGUGAGCAACCUGGCUCUAAGAGGGGGACAACAGUUGGAAACGACUGCUAAUACCGCAUAACGUAUCGGGAUGGCAUCUUCCUGAUACCAAAGAUUUUAUCGCUUAGAGAUGGGCUCGCGUCUGAUUAGAUAGUUGGCGGGGUAACGGCCCACCAAGUCGACGAUCAGUAGCCGGACUGAGAGGUUGAACGGCCACAUUGGGACUGAGACACGGCCCAGACUCCUACGGGAGGCAGCAGUGGGGGAUAUUGGACAAUGGGGGCAACCCUGAUCCAGCGACGCCGCGUGAGGGAAGAAGGUUUUCGGAUUGUAAACCUCUGUUGACGGAGAAAAAAAUGAUGGUAUCCGUUUAGAAAGCCACGGCUAACUACGUGCCAGCCGCCGCGGUAAUUC
Molecule: ribosomal RNA, 502 nt
Filed under: uncultured bacterium
Lineage: Bacteria
Description: bacterial SSU rRNA
Rfam family: Bacterial small subunit ribosomal RNA
Source: RNAcentral